This 394-nucleotide ribosomal RNA is filed under the name uncultured bacterium. Its description in RNAcentral is "partial 16S ribosomal RNA". It matches the Rfam family "Bacterial small subunit ribosomal RNA", at positions 523 to 917 of the family's 1533-position model. The record is from RNAcentral.
AUACGUAGGGAGCGAGCGUUGUCCGGAAUUACUGGGUGUAAAGGGAGCGUAGGCGGGAGUGCAAGUCAGAUGUGAAAUACAUGGGCUCAACCCAUGGGCUGCAUUUGAGACUGCAUUUCUAGAGUGAAGUAGAGGUAAGCGGAAUUCCUGGUGUAGCGGUGAAAUGCGUAGAUAUCAGGAGGAACACCGGUGGCGAAGGCGGCUUACUGGGCUUUUACUGACGCUGAGGCUCGAAAGCGUGGGGAGCAAACAGGAUUAGAUACCCUGGUAGUCCACGCUGUAAACGAUGAUUGCUAGGUGUGGUGGGACUGACCCCUUCCGUGCCGCAGUUAACACAAUAAGUAUCCACCUGGGGAGUACGGCCGCAAGGUUGAAACUCAAAUGAAUUGACGGG